Molecule: ribosomal RNA, 253 nt
Filed under: uncultured bacterium
Lineage: Bacteria
Description: partial 16S ribosomal RNA
Rfam family: Bacterial small subunit ribosomal RNA
Source: RNAcentral
UACGUAGGUGGCAAGCGUUGUCCGGAAUUAUUGGGCGUAAAGCGCGCGCAGGCGGUCCUUUAAGUCUGAUGUGAAAGCCCACGGCUCAACCUCGAGACGCCGAUGGAAACCGUUUGGCUAGAGUCCGGAAGAGGAGAGUGGAAUUCCUGGUGUAGCGGUGAAAUGCGCAGAUAUCAGGAAGAACACCCGUGGCUAAGGCGGCUCUCUAGUACGGUACUGACGCUGAGACGCGAAAGCGUGGGGAGCGAACAGG